CCAAAUUCAGUAUAAUUAUUGAUCUCCGUGAAGGCAGCAGCAUCCUCAGCUUGUUAACCUAAGCAAGCCAACCAUUCUUAGUGACAGACAGACCUCAUGUCUUUCUUCCCCGUAAAUGUUGGUACACACAAAUUGCAAGCAAAGCAGCUGCCCAGGUAGGUUGACCUUGGGGACUUAACAAUACAAUAGAUGAAGCUUUAGCCGUUGUGUUUAGGGUUGGAGUCCAUUAUAAGUUGCGAGGGUGUUGGGCUGUCGGCACAAACAAGCCACCCACCCAACGCUGCAAACAACAAAUCAAAGAGCGUUUCUCACGACACUAUCUACCCACUCUUGGCACUAUCUACCAUCUACCCCAGCUUGGAUUUGCAUAUGCUUUCCGCUCCUCCUCAAAAGGAGACCCUCUUCUU
This 407-nucleotide long non-coding RNA is filed under the name Gossypium raimondii (Peruvian cotton). RNAcentral's name for it is "long non-coding RNA (GRAI_LNC003147)". The record is from RNAcentral. Lineage: Eukaryota; Viridiplantae; Streptophyta; Magnoliopsida; Malvales; Malvaceae.